Bactrocera oleae (olive fruit fly) is the source of this 446-nucleotide long non-coding RNA. RefSeq lists it as uncharacterized. The record is from RefSeq and is a predicted model, not a curated record. NCBI's taxonomy places the organism in Eukaryota, Metazoa, Arthropoda, Insecta, Diptera, Tephritidae.
GUUUAAAAGUCAGUAUGUUCAUCUACAUAUACUUGUACACACACUUGUAAAUAUAUGCACAAAAAGUAUACUAUUAACGUAGAAAACGGUCGAGUAUGCCAUUAUCAGUAGCAUAUCGUGACGACAUCAAUUAAUAGCAACGAACCAGCUUAAGCACCUCAUCCCACCGCCUGCCAACUAGAUUCAUAAAUCAUCAGACGAGGUUACACAAUCAGCUUUCUAACCUUAAAACGUCAUCAGAGCAUCACCAACUCCGUUUGAUAUUAUAAAUGAGACGCACCUGAGUGUCUGUAGCUUCCUUGCCGUUUGUGCGCCCAUAACACGUACGGCUUCACGUACUGGUCUUGCUCGUGCCAGCGCUGUUCCACGCAGUAUUAUGAGUUCGUUGCGUGCUGCAAUUGUCCUCAACAUCUUGACGCACUAAAGUAACACGCAAACAAAUUAUU